UGUGGAGGGAAAAAAUGGUUUUCUCUUUCUCUCUAAGGAAUCGUUUCACCCGGUUAGAAGAUUACACCAGGUCAGACGUGGCUAAGGAUUUUCUUAUUCCUGACAGCAGCAGGAAGGAGAGGAAGGCAACCUUGAUGGGAGCUGGGAACAGAGUGCAACAGGGAGGAAGAUUUCGCUUCUGAGCAACUUUUGGGGAGCCUGGUCGCCCACCCAUCUGCAGCCCCUGGCUCUAUUCACCGCUCAGGAAUUACGUGCCAAACCUGGAACAGGGACUUACCUUCCUAGCCAAGCUCUCAGGGAGGACUUGACCAGAAAGGCGAACACAGGGUUUUGCCUCACCUCCCUGUGACUGAAGCGUCUUCCAGGUCCAA
This 371-nucleotide long non-coding RNA is filed under the name Columba livia (rock pigeon). Its description in RNAcentral is "partial uncharacterized LOC106145894". The record is from RNAcentral. Lineage: Eukaryota; Metazoa; Chordata; Aves; Columbiformes; Columbidae.